RNAcentral lists this ribosomal RNA (253 nucleotides) under uncultured bacterium. RNAcentral's name for it is "partial 16S ribosomal RNA". It matches the Rfam family "Bacterial small subunit ribosomal RNA", at positions 524 to 776 of the family's 1533-position model. The record is from RNAcentral.
GACGGAGGGUGCAAGCGUUGUUCGGAAUCACUGGGCGUAAAGCGCGUGUAGGCGGUCCGGUAAGUCGAGUGUGAAAGCCCGAGGCUCAACCUCGGAAGUGCACUCGAAACUGUCGGGCUUGAGUACGGGAGAGGGAAGCGGAAUUCCUGGUGUAGAGGUGAAAUUCGUAGAUAUCAGGAGGAACACCGGUGGCGAAGGCGGCUUCCUGGACCGAUACUGACGCUGAGACGCGAAAGCGUGGGGAGCAAACAGG